AUUGAACGCUGGCGGUAUGCUUAACACAUGCAAGUCGAACGGUAACAGGCCUUCGGGCGCUGACGAGUGGCGGACGGGUGAGUAACGCGUAGGAAUCUGCCUCAUAGUGGGGGACAACGUGGGGAAACUCACGCUAAUACCGCAUACGCCCUACGGGGAAAGACGGGGGAGUCUUCGGACCUCGCGCUAUGAGAUGAGCCUGCGUUAGAUUAGCUAGUUGGUAGGGUAAAGGCCUACCAAGGCGACGAUCUAUAGCUGGUCUGAGAGGACGAUCAGCCACACUGGGACUGAGACACGGCCCAGACUCCUACGGGAGGCAGCAGUGGGGAAUAUUGGACAAUGGGCGCAAGCCUGAUCCAGCAAUACCGCGUGUGUGAAGAAGGCCUUAGGGUUGUAAAGCACUUUCAAUUGGGAGGAAAACCUAGCCGGUCAAUACCCGGUAGCUAGACAUUACCUUUAG
This 460-nucleotide ribosomal RNA is filed under the name uncultured bacterium. RNAcentral describes it as "bacterial SSU rRNA". It matches the Rfam family "Bacterial small subunit ribosomal RNA", at positions 30 to 484 of the family's 1533-position model. The record is from RNAcentral.